This 414-nucleotide ribosomal RNA is filed under the name Triticum aestivum (bread wheat). Its description in RNAcentral is "partial small subunit ribosomal RNA". Lineage: Eukaryota; Viridiplantae; Streptophyta; Magnoliopsida; Poales; Poaceae. The record is from RNAcentral.
AUGGUGGUGUCGGACUCAUCGUCCGACGAGUCCGAGACACACUCCUCCCGUGAAGACGAGGAGGAGGAAGAAGAAACCUCUCCUCCUCCAGUGGGGGGAGGAAAGAAGAGGAAGGCCACCCUAGUAGGGGAGGCCGAGGGGUCCAAGAAGAGGAAAACCCCUCCGCCGGACUACGCCCCCGACACCGACGAGGACGAAGAGGAGUGGCCGGAUAGGGCCAAGCGUCCGCGAAAUCAUAAGUUUUCGGAUACCAGAGUAACUCGUGAUAUUCCUUUUGUUGCACAGCUUUCCCUGAUGUCGAAUAUAAUCAUGCAGCCCGCCCAAGGACGGGCUCAACGAGUCGUCGAGCGGCUCCCUGGAUUCAUCGGACGUGAAUUCAGUUCCGCCCGCUGCCUCCCCCUGCGUUGUGGAUGA